This 251-nucleotide long non-coding RNA is filed under the name Ananas comosus (pineapple). RNAcentral describes it as "long non-coding RNA (ACOM_LNC043536)". Lineage: Eukaryota; Viridiplantae; Streptophyta; Magnoliopsida; Poales; Bromeliaceae. The record is from RNAcentral.
UUUAGAAGACGGUAUCUUAAUAGCACACAAUUCACGACGACAAUAAUCACGACCAGAAAAUGAAAAACAAAAAUUUCGAGCAUACCAUUCAUCAUCAAUUGGCAGCGACAGACUGUCAUAAUCUUUUACUAAAAGAUUUUGUGGCGACAUGCUGUCGCUGUCUUUUAUUUAAACUUUUAACUGCGACAUAAAGUCGCCGGUUUUUAUUUAAACUUCGCGGCGACGCGAUGUCGCCACUACAUUAAAACUUU